CCAAUAGCGUAUAUUAAAGUUGUUGCAGUUAAAAAGCUCGUAGUUGAAUUUCGGGAUUAAUUUAUCGGUCGUGCUUUUGUACGUACUGGUAUUAUUGAUUCCUACCUUCUGACGAACCAUGAUGUCAUUAAUUUGGUGUCUUGGGGAAUCAGGACUGUUACUUUGAAAAAAUUAGAGUGUUUAAAGCAGGCUCACGCUUGAAUACAUUAGCAUGGAAUAACGAAAUAGGACGUUUGAUUCUAUUUUGUUGGUUUCUAGGAUCGACGUAAUGAUUAAUAGGGAUAGUUGGGGGCAUUAGUAUUCAAUUGUCAGAGGUGAAAUUCUUGGAUUUAUUGAAGACUAACUACUGCGAAAGCAUUUGCCAAGGAUGUUUUCAUUAAUCAAGAACGAAAGUUAGGGGAUCGAAGACGAUCAGAUACCGUCGUAGUCUUAACCAUAAACUAUGCCGACUAGGGAUCGGAUGAUGUUAAUUUUUUAAUGACUCAUUCGGCGCCUUACG
RNAcentral lists this ribosomal RNA (499 nucleotides) under uncultured Glomeromycotina. RNAcentral's name for it is "partial small subunit ribosomal RNA". It matches the Rfam family "Eukaryotic small subunit ribosomal RNA", at positions 591 to 1092 of the family's 1831-position model. The record is from RNAcentral. Lineage: Eukaryota; Fungi; Glomeromycota.